CCUACGGGAGGCAGCAGUGGGGAAUAUUGCACAAUGGGCGCAAGCCUGAUGCAGCCAUGCCGCGUGUGUGAAGAAGGCCUUCGGGUUGUAAAGCACUUUCAGCGGGGAGGAAGGCGUUAAGGUUAAUAACCUUGUCGAUUGACGUUACCCGCAGAAGAAGCACCGGCUAACUCCGUGCCAGCAGCCGCGGUAAUACGGAGGGUGAAGCGUUAAUCGGAAUUACUGGGCGUAAAGCGCACGCAGGCGGUCUGUCAAGUCGGAUGGGAAAUCCCCGGGCUCAACCUGGGAACUGCAUUCGAAACUGGCAGGCUAGAGUCUUGUAGAGGGGGGUAGAAUUCCAGGUGUAGCGGUGAAAUGCGUAGAGAUCUGGAGGAAUACCGGUGGCGAAGGCGGCCCCCUGGACAAAGACUGACGCUGAGGUGCGAAAGCGUGGGGAGCAAACAGGAUUAGAUACCCGGGUAGUC
Molecule: ribosomal RNA, 464 nt
Filed under: uncultured Klebsiella sp.
Lineage: Bacteria; Pseudomonadati; Pseudomonadota; Gammaproteobacteria; Enterobacterales; Enterobacteriaceae
Description: bacterial SSU rRNA
Rfam family: Bacterial small subunit ribosomal RNA
Source: RNAcentral